RNAcentral lists this ribosomal RNA (347 nucleotides) under Providencia rettgeri. RNAcentral describes it as "partial 23S ribosomal RNA". It matches the Rfam family "Bacterial large subunit ribosomal RNA", at positions 1 to 377 of the family's 2925-position model. Lineage: Bacteria; Pseudomonadati; Pseudomonadota; Gammaproteobacteria; Enterobacterales; Morganellaceae. The record is from RNAcentral.
GGUUAAGCGACUAAGCGUACACGGUGGAUGCCUAGGCAAUCAGAGGCGAUGAAGGACGUGCUAAUCUGCGAUAAGCGUCGGUAAGGUGAUAUGAACCGUUACAACCGACGAUUUCCGAAUGGGGAAACCCAGUGCAAUCCGUUGCACUAUCGUUUGAUGAAUACAUAGUCAAACGAAGCGAACCGGGGGAACUGAAACAUCUCAGUACCCCGAGGAAAAGAAAUCAACCGAGAUUCCCCUAGUAGCGGCGAGCGAACGGGGAGCAGCCCAGAGUCUUAAUCAGCAUUAGCAUCAGGAGAACGGUCUGGAAAGUCCGGCAGUAAAGGGUGAUAGCCGAUAGCCCCGUA